RNAcentral lists this long non-coding RNA (243 nucleotides) under Capsicum annuum. RNAcentral's name for it is "long non-coding RNA (CANN_LNC012789)". Lineage: Eukaryota; Viridiplantae; Streptophyta; Magnoliopsida; Solanales; Solanaceae. The record is from RNAcentral.
AAUUCUUCAUUAAAUGUAUUUCCACUGACAGUACAAUAAUAAAAAUAGUCUUGUAAGAAUUUCUUUAUAUAUACCCAAUGUGAAAUACUUAAUUGUUCUAGUUUUAUUAAUGCUUCCUUUUGUAGAGCUAAUAAUCCACUAUUUGGAUCUUUUCCUGUUAAUAACAUAUGCAUUUUAUUUGUAAAAUUAUAGGGAUUUGGCCCCAUACUUAAUAGAACCUGGAAGUCAUAUGGGCAGUUUGUC